Molecule: ribosomal RNA, 169 nt
Filed under: Escherichia coli
Lineage: Bacteria; Pseudomonadati; Pseudomonadota; Gammaproteobacteria; Enterobacterales; Enterobacteriaceae
Description: partial 23S ribosomal RNA
Rfam family: Bacterial large subunit ribosomal RNA (bases 1-152)
Source: RNAcentral
AUCUAAGCACGAAACUUGCCCCGAGAUGAGUUCUCCCUGACUCCUUGAGAGUCCUGAAGGAACGUUGAAGACGACGACGUUGAUAGGCCGGGUGUGUAAGCGCAGCGAUGCGUUGAGCUAACCGGUACUAAUGAACCGUGAGGCUUAACCUUACAACGCCGAAGCUGUU